CGAGUAGUAAGUUAAGAUUUAAAACUGUGUGAUUCAUGUUCACACAUUGACUAGAAGUUCUUACUCGU
Molecule: transfer RNA, 68 nt
Filed under: Crenobia alpina
Lineage: Eukaryota; Metazoa; Platyhelminthes; Tricladida; Planariidae
Description: tRNA-Met
Source: RNAcentral